GCGGGUGUAGUUCAAUGGUAGAACUUCAGCUUCCCAAGCUGAUGGCGCGGGUUCGAUUCCCGUCACCCGCUCCA
Molecule: transfer RNA, 74 nt
Filed under: Cellulomonas fimi
Lineage: Bacteria; Bacillati; Actinomycetota; Actinomycetes; Micrococcales; Cellulomonadaceae
Also listed under: 4 other names
Description: tRNA-Gly
Rfam family: tRNA
About the family: Transfer RNA (tRNA) molecules are approximately 80 nucleotides in length. Their secondary structure includes four short double-helical elements and three loops (D, anti-codon, and T loops).
Source: RNAcentral